Molecule: ribosomal RNA, 492 nt
Filed under: uncultured bacterium
Lineage: Bacteria
Description: partial 16S ribosomal RNA
Rfam family: Bacterial small subunit ribosomal RNA
Source: RNAcentral
AGUGAACGCUGGCGGUAGGCCUAACACAUGCAAGUCGAACGGCAGCACAGUAAGAGCUUGCUCUUACGGGUGGCGCGUGGCGGACGGGUGCGGUAUACACCGGAAUCUACUUUUUCGUGGGGUAUAACGUAGGGAAACUUACGCUAAUACCGCAUUCGACCUACUGGUGAAAGCAGGGGAUCUUCGGACCUUGCUCGAUUGAAUGAGCCGAUGUCGGCUUAGCUAGUUGGCGGGGUAAAGGCCCACCAUGGCGACGCUCCUUAGCGGGUCUGAGAGGAUGAUCAGCCACACUGGAACUGAGACACGGGCCAGACUCCUACGGGAGGCAGCAGUGGGGAAUAUUGGACAAAGGGCGCAAGCCUGAUCCAGCCAUACCGCGUGGGUGAAGAAGGCCUUCGGGUUGUAAAGCCCUUUUGUUGGGAAAGAAAAGCAGCAGGUUAAUACCCCGCUGUACUGACGGUACCCAAAGAAUAAGCACCGGCUAACUUCGUG